GGGGAUUUAACUCAGUGGUAGAGCGCUUGCCUACCAAGCGAAAGGCCCUGGGUUCGGUCCCCAGCUCCA
This is a non-coding RNA of Rattus norvegicus (Norway rat), 69 nucleotides long. The record is from Rfam. NCBI's taxonomy places the organism in Eukaryota, Metazoa, Chordata, Mammalia, Rodentia, Muridae.